This 76-nucleotide transfer RNA is filed under the name Burkholderiaceae bacterium. Its description in RNAcentral is "tRNA-Ile". It matches the Rfam family "tRNA". From Rfam's summary of the family: Transfer RNA (tRNA) molecules are approximately 80 nucleotides in length. Their secondary structure includes four short double-helical elements and three loops (D, anti-codon, and T loops). Further hydrogen bonds mediate the characteristic L-shaped molecular structure. tRNAs have two regions of fundamental functional importance: the anti-codon, which is responsible for specific mRNA codon recognition, and the 3' end, to which the tRNAs corresponding amino acid is attached (by aminoacyl-tRNA synthetases). tRNAs cope with the degeneracy of the genetic code in two manners: having more than one tRNA (with a specific anti-codon) for a particular amino acid; and 'wobble' base-pairing, i.e. permitting non-standard base-pairing at the 3rd anti-codon position. The record is from RNAcentral. Lineage: Bacteria; Pseudomonadati; Pseudomonadota; Betaproteobacteria; Burkholderiales; Burkholderiaceae.
UGGCCGGUAGCCCAGUUGGUAGAGCGACGCACUGAUAAUGCGGUGGUCGCAGGUUCGAGGCCUGCCUGGCCAGCCA